GGUGAUCAAAUGAAAACCCAGAGCUGCUCCGAGACCUGCUUUUCAACAGCUCACGCAUUUCCAUCUUGUUUGAUGGGAGUCUGGAGAUCUUCAGUGCCACCAGAAACGAUGAGGGCUUUUACACCUGCUUUGCUGAGAAUGACAGAGGAAAGUCCAACAGCUCAGGUUAUCUCACCAUCACAGGGCGGAGAAAGAGUUGGUGACUUGCAGAUAAAGAAUCUCCAGAUCUGA
Nematolebias whitei (Rio pearlfish) is the source of this 231-nucleotide long non-coding RNA. RefSeq lists it as uncharacterized. NCBI's taxonomy places the organism in Eukaryota, Metazoa, Chordata, Actinopteri, Cyprinodontiformes, Rivulidae. The transcript is spliced from 3 exons. The record is from RefSeq and is a predicted model, not a curated record.